UAAAGGUAUUCCGGUAGACGAUGGGGAUGCGUUCCAUUAGAUAGUAGGCGGGGUAACGGCCCACCUAGUCUUCGAUGGAUAGGGGUUCUGAGAGGAAGGUCCCCCACAUUGGAACUGAGACACGGUCCAAACUCCUACGGGAGGCAGCAGUGAGGAAUAUUGGUCAAUGGGCGAGAGCCUGAACCAGCCAAGUAGCGUGAAGGAUGACUGCCCUAUGGGUUGUAAACUUCUUUUAUAAAGGAAUAAAGUCGGGUAUGGAUACCCGUUUGCAUGUACUUUAUGAAUAAGGAUCGGCUAACUCCGUGCCAGCAGCCGCGGUAAUACGGAGGAUCCGAGCGUUAUCCGGAUUUAUUGGGUUUAAAGGGAGCGUAGAUGGAUGUUUAAGUCAGUUGUGAAAGUUUGCGGCUCAACCGUAAAAUUGCAGUUGAUACUGGAUAUCUUGAGUGCAGUUGAGGCAGGCGGAAUUCGUGGUGUAGCGGUGAAAUGCUUAGAUAUCACGAAGAACUCCGAUUGCGAAGGCAGCCUGCUAAGCUGCAACUGACAUUGAGGCUCGAAAGUGUGGGUAUCAAACAGGAUUAGAUACCCUGGUAG
This 591-nucleotide ribosomal RNA is filed under the name uncultured bacterium. Its description in RNAcentral is "bacterial SSU rRNA". It matches the Rfam family "Bacterial small subunit ribosomal RNA", at positions 202 to 793 of the family's 1533-position model. The record is from RNAcentral.